RNAcentral lists this ribosomal RNA (301 nucleotides) under uncultured bacterium. RNAcentral's name for it is "partial 16S ribosomal RNA". It matches the Rfam family "Bacterial small subunit ribosomal RNA", at positions 510 to 808 of the family's 1533-position model. The record is from RNAcentral.
AGUAGCCGCGGUAAUACGUAGGUGGCAAGCGUUGUCCGGAAUUAUUGGGCGUAAAGCGCGCGCAGGUGGUUUAAUAAGUCUGAUGUGAAAGCCCACGGCUCAACCGUGGAGGGUCAUUGGAAACUGUUAAACUUGAGUGCAGGAGAGAAAAGUGGAAUUCCUAGUGUAGCGGUGAAAUGCGUAGAGAUUAGGAGGAACACCAGUGGCGAGGGCGGCUUUUUGGCCUGUAACUGACACUGAGGCGCGAAAGCGUGGGGAGCAAACAGGAUUAGAUACCCGAGUAGUCCCUGUCUCUUAUACA